GAUGAACGCUAGCGGCAGGCUUAAUACAUGCAAGUCGAACGGCAGCGGGUCCAGCAAUGGAUGCCGGCGAGUGGCGCACGGGUGCGUAACACGUAUGCAACCUACCUUUAACCGGGACAUAACCUCGAGAAAUCGUGGCUAAUAUUCCAUAAUAUCUUUGAAUCGCAUGGUUUGAAGAUCAAAAUUCCGAUGGUUUUAGAUGGGCAUGCGCGGACAUUAGCUAGUUGGUGAGGUAAUGGCUCACCAAGGCUACGAUGUUUAGGGGGUCUGAGGUGAUGAUCCCCCGCACUGGUAAGGAGACACGGACCAGACUCCGACGGGAGGCAGCAGUAAGGAAUAUUGGGCAAUGGGCGCAAGCCUGACCCAGCCAUGCCGCGUGCAGGAUGACAGCCCUACGGGUUGUAAACUGCUUUUAUACGGGAAAAAACCCUCUGACGUGUCAGAGGCUGAUGGUACCGUAAGAAUAAGCAUCGGCUAACUCCGUGCCAGCAGCCGCGGUAA
This 501-nucleotide ribosomal RNA is filed under the name uncultured bacterium. Its description in RNAcentral is "partial 16S ribosomal RNA". It matches the Rfam family "Bacterial small subunit ribosomal RNA", at positions 28 to 523 of the family's 1533-position model. The record is from RNAcentral.